RNAcentral lists this ribosomal RNA (328 nucleotides) under uncultured eukaryote. Its description in RNAcentral is "partial 18S ribosomal RNA". It matches the Rfam family "Eukaryotic small subunit ribosomal RNA", at positions 1470 to 1796 of the family's 1831-position model. The record is from RNAcentral.
CCCUUAGAUGUUCUGGGCGGCCCGCGCACUACACUGGCACUCUCAAUCAGAGCCUGGAUCUAACACUUUGGGGUAUUCUAUGAAGUGGUGUCGUGACUGGGAUUAACCCUUGCAAUUAUUGGUUACGAACGAGGAAUUCCUUGUAAUCGCGGUUUAUCAGCCCGCGUUGAAUGCGUCCCUGCCCUUUGUACACACCGCCCGUCGCUACUACCGAUUGAAUGGUUUAGUGAGAUCUUCGGAUUGGCGCCACUGCGGCUCAGCAAUGGGCUCGGUGGAUGCCGAAAAGUUGAUCAAACUUGAUCAUUUAGAGGUAGUAAAAGUCGUAACA